RNAcentral lists this ribosomal RNA (439 nucleotides) under uncultured bacterium. RNAcentral describes it as "partial 16S ribosomal RNA". It matches the Rfam family "Bacterial small subunit ribosomal RNA", at positions 339 to 795 of the family's 1533-position model. The record is from RNAcentral.
CUACGGGUCACUGCAGUGAGGAAUAUUGCACAAUGGGGGGAACCCUGAUGCAGCAACGCCGCGUGGAGGAUGACGCAUUUCGGUGUGUAAACUCCUUUUAUAUGCCAAGAAAAUGACGGUAGCAUAUGAAUAAGCACCGGCUAACUCCGUGCCAGCAGCCGCGGUAAUACGGAGGGUGCAAGCGUUACUCGGAAUCACUGGGCGUAAAGGACGCGUAGGCGGGUUGGAAAGUCAGGUGUGAAAUCCUACAGCUUAACUGUAGAACUGCACUUGAAACUUCUAAUCUAGAGUAUGGGAGGGGGAGAUGGAAUUAGUGGUGUAGGGGUAACAUCCGUAGAUAUCACUAGGAAUACCUAAAGCGAAGGCGAUCUCCUGGAACAUUACUGACGCUAAGGCGUGAAAGCGUGGGGAGCAAACAGGAUUAGAUACCCGGGUAGUC